CCCUACGGGUUGUACACUGCUUUUCCAGGGGGAGAAACUUGCGCACGUGUUGCGCAAUUGACGGUACCCUGGGAAUAAGCAUCGGCUAACUCCGUGCCAGCAGCCGCGGUAAUACGGAGGAUGCGAGCGUUAUCCGGAUUCAUUGGGUUUAAAGGUUGCGUAGGCGGACUAUUAAGUCAGUGGUGAAAUCCUGCAGCUUAACUGCAGAACUGCCAUUGAUACUGAUAGCCUUGAGUUUGGUUAAGGUAGGCGGAAUGUGUAAUGUAGCGGUGAAAUGCUUAGAUAUAACACAGAACACCAAUUGCGUAGGCAGCUUACUGAGCCGACACUGACGCUGAGGCACGAAAGCGUGGGGAUCGAACA
This 363-nucleotide ribosomal RNA is filed under the name uncultured prokaryote. RNAcentral's name for it is "bacterial SSU rRNA". It matches the Rfam family "Bacterial small subunit ribosomal RNA", at positions 414 to 774 of the family's 1533-position model. The record is from RNAcentral.